Molecule: unclassified non-coding RNA, 173 nt
Filed under: soil metagenome
Description: partial internal transcribed spacer 1
Source: RNAcentral
CCGAGUUUACAACUCCCAAACCCAAUGUGAACAUACCUAACUGUUGCCUUCGGCGGGGUCAUGCCCCGGGCGCCUCGUGUAGCCCCGGAAUCAGGCGCCCGCCGGAGGACAACUUAACUCUUUUGUAGUCCUCGGGAAGUCUUCUUAGUAGUUUUAGCAAAAUAAAAUGAAUC